GAAAGACAGAGAGGCAAGUGUAGCGGGUUGGGGGUGGUCAGCAGAGAGGGGUCGGUCCAUUCCAGCUUCCUGUGGACGCUGCUGGCUGAGGGUUGGAGGUGGGGCAGGAACAGACUGCACCUGGCACACAGGCCAGGCCCUCUCAAGCCCCUCCAUGGCAGGAACUGGUAUUGAUCCCAUUUUAAAGCUGUGAAAACUGAGGGGAAAAUAAAUGAAGUGACUUGCUUGAGGUCCCAGAGCUAGUGGCAAAAAGGAGCAAUAAAGUCCAUGAUGACCUGAGUCUGCUGGAUGUCAAGACCCUCAGUUCCAACGAUUCGACCUCAUUCAGCAUCAUCUGCUGUGCUGAUGUCCAGGGGCCAGAGCAGUUAUUGCAAAGGAAGAUUUCUCUAAGGCUCUUCCUAUUUUUCUGUUAGCCAUGUAAAGUUUAUAAACUUUUAUUAGGAUAGCAGUAAAUUGCAGAGCAGUGACAAUAUGUGAAAAAUGUCUUGCUUCACUCAAUUAAGUAUGUUCUGGAUGGUUACAGACUUCAUGUAGG
Molecule: long non-coding RNA, 535 nt
Filed under: Pan troglodytes (chimpanzee)
Lineage: Eukaryota; Metazoa; Chordata; Mammalia; Primates; Hominidae
Description: lincRNA
Source: RNAcentral